GUUGUGGCUCAGUGGUAGAGCACUUGCCUAGCAUGUGUGAUGCCCUGGGUUCAAUUCUCAGUACAGCA
This 68-nucleotide transfer RNA is filed under the name Urocitellus parryii (Arctic ground squirrel). RNAcentral describes it as "Spermophilus parryii (Arctic ground squirrel) tRNA". It matches the Rfam family "tRNA". Rfam says of the family: Transfer RNA (tRNA) molecules are approximately 80 nucleotides in length. Their secondary structure includes four short double-helical elements and three loops (D, anti-codon, and T loops). Further hydrogen bonds mediate the characteristic L-shaped molecular structure. tRNAs have two regions of fundamental functional importance: the anti-codon, which is responsible for specific mRNA codon recognition, and the 3' end, to which the tRNAs corresponding amino acid is attached (by aminoacyl-tRNA synthetases). tRNAs cope with the degeneracy of the genetic code in two manners: having more than one tRNA (with a specific anti-codon) for a particular amino acid; and 'wobble' base-pairing, i.e. permitting non-standard base-pairing at the 3rd anti-codon position. Lineage: Eukaryota; Metazoa; Chordata; Mammalia; Rodentia; Sciuridae. RNAcentral also lists the same sequence under 1 other name. The record is from Rfam by way of RNAcentral.